AUGCGAGGCUCUGCCGCUGUGCAGGCUGUGCCGCUGGGCGCCGUCCAGUGCUGCUCCCCAGACGGGAAUCAGAGAAGCUACAGACUCCGCCCCUCGUGGGGGCCCACCCUCUCCCCCUGUGGUCCGGAUUCCAAGACCCGGCUUUGCUCCCGCCCGAGUUGCAGGCACCUUCCUGAGGAAGGAGCACCGGGCCCCCACCCUGGAGGAGGGCCAGGCUUCAGCCCCUGGGGUGCCAUGCCUGUGGGCGGGUGCUGUGUGCUGGGUGCUGUGCCUGUGGGCGGGUGCUGUGUGCUGGGUGCUGUGCCUGUGGGCGGGUGCUCUGUGCUGGGGUGCCGUGCCUGUGGGUGGGGUGCUCUGUGCUGGGUGCUAUGCCUGUGGGUGGGAUGGUCUGUGCUGGGUGCCGUGCCUGUAGGCGGGGUGCUGUGUGCUGUGCCUGUGGGUGGGGUGCUCUGUGCUGGGUGCUGUGCCUGUGGGUGGGGUGCUGUGUGCUGGGUGCCAUGCCUGUGGGCGGGGUGCUGUGUGCUGGGUGCCGUGCCUGUUGGUGGGGUGCUCUGUGCUGUGCCUGUGUGCGGGUGCUGUGUGCUGGGUGCCGUGCCUGUGGGCGGGGUGCUGGGUGCCAUGCUUGUGGACGGGGUGCUGUGUGCUGUGCCUGUGGGCAGGUGCUGUGUGCUGUGUGCUGGGUGCCAUGCCUGUCGGCGGGAUGGUCUGUGCCAUGCCUGUGGGCCGGUGCUCUGUGCUGGGUGCCGUGCCUGUGGGUGGGGUGCUGUGUGCUGGGUGCCGUGCCUGUGGGCGGGUGCUGUGUGCUGGGUGCCGUGCCUGUGGGCGGGUGCUGUGUGCUGGGUGCCGUGCCUGUGGGCGGGUGCUGUGUGCUGGGUGCCGUGCCUGUGGGCGGGUGCUGUGUGCUGGGCCAGGCAGGAACUGCGUUCGAAUUGUGGCCAAGUCAGUGUUUGUUCUCCAACAUUGCUGCUGUGGCACAAACAGCCAGACAAUGCGGUGCCAGGGGGCGGGUUUGUGCCAGUAAAACGUUAUUGGUCAACACGGGCUGUGGGCCACGUGCGGCUCAGGGCCCACAGCACCCCCGUGGGCUCCCGCUGA
Molecule: long non-coding RNA, 1095 nt
Filed under: Oryctolagus cuniculus (rabbit)
Lineage: Eukaryota; Metazoa; Chordata; Mammalia; Lagomorpha; Leporidae
Description: lncRNA (ENSOCUG00000036423.1)
Source: RNAcentral